UGCAGUCUCCUCGUGAGAUUCUUAUAUUGUAUUAUUCUUCCUAAUACCUAACGAGGGAGAGUCCAACCCACCAAACAUGCCUAGGCCACCCAGAACACGUGGCAAUGUCACGGUCACGCGGUGACCACCUCGUUGGAUGCCAGUUAACGCGCUCUGAAGUUGGGGCCUUGCACACCAUCCAAACCUUGACAUCUAUCCACCACACCAUGUAUUUUUGAUUAAAUAGAUACUUAUGUACCUAGAAAUUAUUUUUGAAAAAAACAAAGAGCAAACUAUAAGGCAGGUGCAGUUAAAAUUUGACCCGCUUCUAACUGAAUCGGUGUAAAUUUGUGUUUUUCAUGAGAGGUGGCUCAAAGCUUUUGACACCCAACCAUUCCAUCAAUUAUAGAUUAAAUA
RNAcentral lists this long non-coding RNA (396 nucleotides) under Hordeum vulgare. RNAcentral's name for it is "long non-coding RNA (HVUL_LNC002221)". Lineage: Eukaryota; Viridiplantae; Streptophyta; Magnoliopsida; Poales; Poaceae. The record is from RNAcentral.